Molecule: ribosomal RNA, 377 nt
Filed under: uncultured bacterium
Lineage: Bacteria
Description: bacterial SSU rRNA
Rfam family: Bacterial small subunit ribosomal RNA
Source: RNAcentral
AAUCAACGCUGGCGGCGUGCCUCAGACAUGCAAGUCGAACGCGAAAGGCUCCUUCGGGGGCCGAGUAGAGUGGCGCACGGGUGAGUAACACGUAGGUAAUUUGCCUUUGGGUGGGGAAUAACUCAGGGAAACUUGAGCUAAUACCGCAUAAUGCAGCGGCUCGACAUCGAGACAGUUGUUAAAGCGGGGGAUCGCAAGACCUCGCGCCUGAAGAGAAGCCUGCGGCAGAUUAGCUAGUUGGUAGGGUAAUGGCCUACCAAGGCGACGAUCUGUAACCGGCCUGAGAGGGCGGUCGGUCACACUGACACUGACAUACGGGUCAGACUCCUACGGGAGGCAGCAGUCGGGAAUUUUGGGCAAUGGGCGCAAGCCUGACC